AGGAGGACGCUGGAGUGAGGUGCUCUGGUGAGUGUGGGGGGCUAGGGAUCCAGUUUGGGUGAGUUGGGGCAAUGAUGGGUCCAUGGGCAUGGCAGGGGUUUGAUGGGGAGAUUGUUCAGAAAGCAUCUUGGUGCUGUAGCUCUGGACCUGGGAGAGGGGGAGCUGGGAGGACUCAGCAGGUUUUGGUAACUGAGGGGUGACUUCAGGACUCAGGGAGGGAAAACGGGCUACCCUGCGUCCUGUGCUCCAAACUACUACUUUUCUUUUUCUCUAGGUUAAAGAAUUAUAUUUCUCCCCACUAGAGUAGGCACAUAGUAACACCCAUGGAUAGAGGAGGAUAUUCAGAUUCUUGGGACCUAUUCUGUAGACUCUCUGGCAAAAUUAGUCAACUCGUAAGAGAAAAGAUACUGAGGAGCCACUGGCUGGUGGGGAGGGAGCAGACAUUUUCCUUGGGGAAUUUCCAUGGGGGAAAUUUCCAUGGGGCCAGAAAUUUCUCAUGCACCUGGUCAAGGAGGGCUGGUUGCUGAGCUGUGGGUUCUAAGGCUUUCCUACCUGCCCAUGAGUGUUCCUCCUCAACAGCAAGGUGCCAGUCCGAGGACUUGUUUGAUGCUCUGGACUCGUGAAGCCCAAGGGGAAGGGAUGAAAUCAUGAGCCUGGUACUCAGAGGCUGUCUCAGCAGGGAAGCGCCAGGAUAAUCACAGCCAAUUAUUUCAGGAUAGGACACUGAUGGAGCCCAGUCACAGUGGGUUUAGUUGUGUCAGAGGCUGGGACUUCAUUGUCCAGAGCUCUGUGGAAAUGCUAGCAGGGAGUUUCCCUGUGCCCAUGACCUUGUCCAAACCCUCUUGCCUUGUUCUUCUUAGGGACCAGACCAGACUUAAAUCCUGGCAUCUUCUCCCUGCCUGAGAUCCUCUGCUUCAUCCUGGGGGCCCUUCUCCUCCUGGUCCUCAUCAUCCUGGUGGCUCAGCUGCUCAGAUGGAGGGCAAAGCACAGAGGUGCUGUCGAUGAGGCCGUGUAUGAGGAGAUUGAUAACCUUGGAAUACCAAAGGAAGAUCUGCUGGGAAGCACAGGUGUGUGUCUCUGCCUUGCCCUCCUGGGACCUCUGGUGGUCAGCCUAGUCUUCUCAUCAACCGCAGACCCCACAUCUGCCCCAGGCUCACGGAGGCGGCCCUGUGCCUCAAAGGCAGCAAGAUGGGGCUCUCCAGAGCACCUGUGUGUUCUUAGCUCCCUUCACAUUCCAGGAACCAAACCUGUCCCAGCAUUUCCUCUCAGCCUUGAGGCUCCUAUGGGAGUGGGAAGGUCUGUUCUGUUCCUUUAUGAUGAUUUUGUCCACCUUAGGGUUCCUGUCA
Molecule: long non-coding RNA, 1346 nt
Filed under: Sus scrofa (pig)
Lineage: Eukaryota; Metazoa; Chordata; Mammalia; Artiodactyla; Suidae
Description: lncRNA (ENSSSCG00035051963.1)
Source: RNAcentral